Molecule: transfer RNA, 78 nt
Filed under: Xenopus laevis (African clawed frog)
Lineage: Eukaryota; Metazoa; Chordata; Amphibia; Anura; Pipidae
Rfam family: tRNA
About the family: Transfer RNA (tRNA) molecules are approximately 80 nucleotides in length. Their secondary structure includes four short double-helical elements and three loops (D, anti-codon, and T loops).
Source: Rfam by way of RNAcentral
GCCUAAAUAGCUCAGUCGGUAGAGCGCACAGCUCUGAAUGAUACCAAAAGGUUGUGGGUUCGAUUCCCACCUCUGCCA